RNAcentral lists this small RNA (123 nucleotides) under human gut metagenome. RNAcentral's name for it is "ydaO/yuaA leader". It matches the Rfam family "c-di-AMP riboswitch aptamer (ydaO/yuaA leader)". Rfam says of the family: This family represents a conserved RNA structure found upstream of the ydaO and yuaA genes in Bacillus subtilis and related genes in other bacteria. The record is from RNAcentral.
AAAAAUGCCGAAUGCUGAUGUUUCAGCAACGGGAGACCCAACCAUGGGGUGUAUCCGCCAAAGUGCGGUAGGAAAUCCUUCUUUCCGAACCCGACAGCUAAUCUCGUAGGCGUAGAAGGAGGA